This 271-nucleotide ribosomal RNA is filed under the name uncultured bacterium. RNAcentral describes it as "partial 16S ribosomal RNA". It matches the Rfam family "Bacterial small subunit ribosomal RNA", at positions 524 to 794 of the family's 1533-position model. The record is from RNAcentral.
AACGUAGGUUCCCGAGCGUUAUCCGGAUUUACUGGGCGUAAAGCGUGUUCAGGCGGCUCAGCAAGUCGGGCAUGAAAUCUCUCGGCUCAACCGGGAGAGGCUGUCCGAAACUGCUGGGCUUGAGGGCAGUAGAGGGUGGUGGAAUUCCGGGUGUAGUGGUGAAAUGCGUAGAUAUCCGGAGGAACACCAGUGGCGAAAGCGGCCACCUGGACUGUACCUGACGCUCAAACACGAAAGCUAGGGGAGCGAACGGGAUUAGAUACCCUGUAGU